UACGGAGGGUGCAAGCGGUGUUCGGAAUUACUGGGCGUAAAGGGCGUGUAGGCGGACUCGGAAGUCGGGUGUGAAAGCCCCGGGCUCAACUUAGGAAGUGCGCUCGAAACCACGAGUCUAGAGAUCCGGAGGGGAUCGGGGAAUUCCUGGUGUAGAGGUGAAAUUCGUAGAUAUCAGGAGGAACACCGGUGGCGAAGGCGUCGAUCUGGGCGUAUUCUGACCCUUAGAUGCGUAAGCGUAGUGAGCAAACAGG
Molecule: ribosomal RNA, 253 nt
Filed under: uncultured bacterium
Lineage: Bacteria
Description: partial 16S ribosomal RNA
Rfam family: Bacterial small subunit ribosomal RNA
Source: RNAcentral